UACGUAGGGGCGAGCGUUGUCCGGAAUUACUGGGCGUAAAGAGCUCGUAGGUGGUUUGUCGCGUCGUCUGUGAAAUUCCGGGGCUUAACUUCGGGCGUGCAGGCGAUACGGGCAAUACUUGAGUGCUGUAGGGGAGACUGGAAUUCCUGGUGUAGCGGUGAAAUGCGUAGAUAUCGGGAGGAACAUCGGUGGCGAAGGCGGGUAACUGGACUGCAACUGACGCUGAGGCGCGAAAAGUGUGGGGAGCAAAACAGGAUUAGAUACCCUGGUAGUCCCU
RNAcentral lists this ribosomal RNA (277 nucleotides) under uncultured prokaryote. RNAcentral's name for it is "partial 16S ribosomal RNA". It matches the Rfam family "Bacterial small subunit ribosomal RNA", at positions 524 to 798 of the family's 1533-position model. The record is from RNAcentral.